This 1341-nucleotide ribosomal RNA is filed under the name uncultured bacterium. Its description in RNAcentral is "bacterial SSU rRNA". It matches the Rfam family "Bacterial small subunit ribosomal RNA", at positions 28 to 1381 of the family's 1533-position model. The record is from RNAcentral.
AACGAACGCUAGCGGUGCGUUUCAGGCAUGCAAGUCGAACGGUAACAUGGAGGUGCUUGCACUUCUGAUGACGAGUGGCGCACGGGUGAGUAACGCGUAGGUAAUCUACCAUAAGGUCGGGAAUAACCAUACGAAAGUAUGAUUAAUGCCGGAUAUGCUCUUCGGAGUAAAGAUUUAUCGCCUUAUAACGGGCCUGCGUUAGAUUAGCUAGUUGGUGGGGUAAUAGCCUACCAAGGCAACGAUCUAUAGCCGGGUUGAGAGACCGACCGGCCACAUUGGAACUGAGACACGGUCCAGACUCCUACGGGAGGCAGCAGCUAAGAAUCUUCCGCAAUGGGCGAAAGCCUGACGGAGCGACACCGCGUGAACGAUGAAGGCCCUUCGGGUUGUAAAGUUCUUUUAUAUACGACGAAUGUAUAGUGUAGACCAUACUGACGGUACUAUAUGAAUAAGGUCCGGCUAACUACGUGCCAGCAGCCGCGGUAAUACGUAGGGACCAAGCGUUGUUCGGAAUUAUUGGGCGUAAAGGGUAUGUAGGCGGUUUGAUCAGUCAGAUGUGAAAUUCCUGGGCUUAACCUGGGACUUGCGUCUGAUACUGUCUUACUAGAGUUAUGGAGAGGAAGUCGGAAUUUCCGGUGUAGGGGUGAAAUCUGUAGAUAUCGGAAAGAACACCAAUUGCGAAGGCUGACUUCUGGACAUUAACUGACGCUGAUGUACGAAAGUUAGGGUAGCAAACAGGAUUAGAGACCCUGGUAGUCCUAACGGUAAACGUUGUAUACUAGGUGGCGGGAUGUUGAUCGUCUCACUGCCGUAGCUAACGCAUUAAGUAUACCGCCUGGGGAGUAUGCUGGCAACGGUGAAACUCAAAGGAAUUGACGGGAGCCCGCACAAGCAGUGGAGCAUGUUGUUUAAUUCGAUGAUACGCGAGGAACCUUACCAGGUCUUGACAUAUACCUGAAUUAGGUAGAGAUAUCUAAGUCUUCGGACAGGUAAACAGGUGCUGCAUGGUUGUCGUCAGCUCGUGCCGUGAGGUGUUGGGUUAAGUCCCGCAACGAGCGCAACCCUUAUCCUUUGUUGCUAACACUCCGGGUGAGCACUCUAAGGAGACUGCCAGUGACAAACUGGAGGAAGGUGGGGAUGACGUCAAAUCAUCACGGCCCUUAUGACCUGGGCUACAAACGUGCUACAAUGGACGGUACAAAGAGACGCAAUACCGCAAGGAUGAGCAAAUCUCAGAAAACCGCCCUCAGUUCGGAUUGGAGUCUGCAACUCGACUCCAUGAAGAUGGAAUUGCUAGUAAUCGCAUAUCAGCCAUGAUGCGGUGAAUACGUUCCCGGGCCU